GAUAAACGCUGGCGGCGCACAUAAGACAUGCAAGUCGAACGAACUUAACCCUUUGUUUACAUUGGGAGCGGUUAGUGGCGGACUGGUGAGUAACACGUAAGCAACCUGCCUAUUAGAGGGGAAUAACAGUGAGAAAUCAUUGCUAAUACCGCAUAUGCUCACAGUAUCACAUGAUACAGUGAGGAAAGGAGCAAUCCGCUAAUAGAUGGGCUUGCGUCUGAUUAGCUAGUUGGUGGGGUAACGGCCUACCAAGGCGACGAUCAGUAGCCGGACUGAGAGGUUGAACGGCCACAUUGGGACUGAGAUACGGCCCAGACUCCUACGGGAGGCAGCAGUCGGGAAUAUUGCGCAAUGGAGGAAACUCUGACGCAGUGACGCCGCGUAUAGGAAGAAGGUUUUCGGAUUGUAAACUAUUGUCGUUAGGGAAGAUAAAAGACAGUACCUAAGGAGGAAGCUCCGGCUAACUAUGUGCCAGCAGCCGCGGUAAUACAUAGGGAGCAAGCGUUAUCCGGAAUUAUUGGGUGUAAAGGGUGCGUAGACGGAGGAACAAGUUAGUUGUGAAAUCCCUCGGCUUAACUGAGGAACUGCAACUAAAACUAUUCCCCUUGAGUGUCGGAGAGGAAAGUGGAAUUCCUAGUGUAGCGGUGAAAUGCGUAGAUAUUAGGAGGAACACCAGUGGCGAAGGCGACUUUCUGGACGAUAACUGACGUUGAGGCACGAAAGUGUGGGGAGCAAACAGGAUUAGAUACCCUGGUAGUCCACACUGUAAACGAUGGAUACUAGGUGUAGGGUGUAUUAAGCACUCUGUGCCGCCGCAAACGCAUUAAGUAUCCCACCUGGGGAGUACGACCGCAAGGUUGAAACUCAAAGGAAUUGACGGGGGCCCGCACAAGCAGCGGAGUAUGUGGUUUAAUUCGAAGCAACGCGAAGAACCUUACCAGGGCUUGACAUAUACCGGAAUAUACUAGAGAUAGUAUAGUCCUUCGGGACUGGUAUACAGGUGGUGCAUGGUUGUCGUCAGCUCGUGUCGUGAGAUGUUGGGUUAAGUCCCGCAACGAGCGCAACCCCUAUCGUUAGUUGCUAGCAGGUAAAGCUGAGAACUCUAGCGAGACUGCCGGUGAUAAAUCGGAGGAAGGUGGGGAUGACGUCAAAUCAUCAUGCCCUUUAUGUCCUGGGCUACACACGUACUACAAUGGCCGCAACAGAGGGAAGCGAAAUAGUGAUAUGGAGCAAAACCCGAAAAACGGUCUCAGUUCGGAUUGAAGGCUGAAAUUCGCCUUCAUGAAGCUGGAAUUGCUAGUAAUGGCAGGUCAGCGUACUGCCGUGAAUACGUUCCCGGGCCU
Molecule: ribosomal RNA, 1343 nt
Filed under: uncultured bacterium
Lineage: Bacteria
Description: 16S ribosomal RNA
Rfam family: Bacterial small subunit ribosomal RNA
Source: RNAcentral